Molecule: ribosomal RNA, 469 nt
Filed under: uncultured bacterium
Lineage: Bacteria
Description: partial 16S ribosomal RNA
Rfam family: Bacterial small subunit ribosomal RNA
Source: RNAcentral
GACGAACGCUGGCGGCGUGCUUAACACAUGCAAGUCGAACGGAAAGGCCCUGCUUUUGUGGGGUGCUCGAGUGGCGAACGGGUGAGUAACACGUGAGUAACCUGCCCUUGACUUUGGGAUAACUUCAGGAAACUGGGGCUAAUACCGGAUAGGAGCUCCUGCUGCAUGGUGGGGGUUGGAAAGUUUCGGCGGUUGGGGAUGGACUCGCGGCUUAUCAGCUUGUUGGUGGGGUAGUGGCUUACCAAGGCUUUGACGGGUAGCCGGCCUGAGAGGGUGACCGGCCACAUUGGGACUGAGAUACGGCCCAGACUCCUACGGGAGGCAGCAGUGGGGAAUAUUGCACAAUGGGCGGAAGCCUGAUGCAGCAACGCCGCGCGCGGGAUGACGGCCUUCGGGUUGUAAACCGCUUUCGCCUGUGACGAAGCGUGAGUGACGGUAAUGGGUAAAGAAGCACCGGCUAACUACGUGC